UGGGGAAUAUUGCACAAUGGGCGCAAGCCUGAUGCAGCCAUGCCGCGUGUAUGAAGAAGGCCUUCGGGUUGUAAAGUACUUUCAGUCGGGAGGAAGGUGGUAAGGUUAAUAACCUUAUCAAUUGACGUUACCGACAGAAGAAGCACCGGCUAACUCCGUGCCAGCAGCCGCGGUAAUACGGAGGGUGCAAGCGUUAAUCGGAAUUACUGGGCGUAAAGCGCACGCAGGCGGUUGAUUAAGUCAGAUGUGAAAUCCCCGGGCUUAACCCGGGAAUUGCAUCUGAUACUGGUCAGCUAGAGUCUUGUAGAGGGGGGUAGAAUUCCAUGUGUAGCGGUGAAAUGCGUAGAGAUGUGGAGGAAUACCGGUGGCGAAGGCGGCCCCCUGGACAAAGACCGACGCUCAGGUGCGAAAGCGUGGGGAGCAAACAGG
RNAcentral lists this ribosomal RNA (429 nucleotides) under Chloroflexota bacterium. Its description in RNAcentral is "Chloroflexi bacterium partial 16S ribosomal RNA". It matches the Rfam family "Bacterial small subunit ribosomal RNA", at positions 355 to 776 of the family's 1533-position model. The record is from RNAcentral. Lineage: Bacteria; Bacillati; Chloroflexota.